Small nuclear RNA from Cyprinodon tularosa, 163 nucleotides. RefSeq annotates it as U1 spliceosomal RNA. The transcript has a single exon. The record is from RefSeq and is a predicted model, not a curated record. NCBI's taxonomy places the organism in Eukaryota, Metazoa, Chordata, Actinopteri, Cyprinodontiformes, Cyprinodontidae.
AUACUUACCUGGCAGAGGCGACACCUUGAUCAUGAAAGAGGUUCACCCAGAGUGAGGCUUGCUAUUGCACCCCGGAUGUGCCGACCUUUGCCAAUUCCUCAUAUGUGGGAAUUUCGACUGCAUAAAUUGUGGUAGUCGGGGACUCCGUACCCCCUGUCCCCUG